CCUUGGUCUGGUGUCAACCAUCCUGCUCCUCGGGACUCCACUCCUCUGGCUUUGCCUCGUUCCUUCAUCCCUCUGGUUCCAUCAGGCUCCUUGUGUUUCCUCCACAUAGUCAUUGUGCUAUGUGUUUCCUCCUGUGGAUUAUUAAAAGGAAGGAAAGUUAUCUUGGUUGUAAUGACAUGAGGUGGUCUGAUGGUCUGGCAUGAAACCCAAAUGAACUGGACAGAGUUGGGACAAACUGUUCUAGCCGUAGUGUCUGUCUCUCCACGUACAGCUAAGCUCUCAUGAAGGGCUUAUGAGACAGACUGUUUAACAUACAUAAAACAUGCUCAAAUUCUCUCUCUCACACACAUAUAC
Cyprinus carpio carpio is the source of this 354-nucleotide long non-coding RNA. NCBI's taxonomy places the organism in Eukaryota, Metazoa, Chordata, Actinopteri, Cypriniformes, Cyprinidae. The record is from Ensembl.